GAUGAACGCUGGCGGCGUGCCUAACACAUGCAAGUCGAGCGAAGCACUUUGCUUGGAUUCUUCGGAUGAAGAGGAUUGUGACUGAGCGGCGGACGGGUGAGUAACGCGUGGGUAACCUGCCUCAUACAGGGGGAUAACAGUUAGAAAUGACUGCUAAUACCGCAUAAGACCACAGCACCGCAUGGUGCAGGGGUAAAAACUCCGGUGGUGUGAGAUGGACCCGCGUUGGAUUAGCCAGUUGGCAGGGUAACGGCCUACCAAAGCGACGAUCCAUAGCCGGCCUGAGAGGGUGAACGGCCACAUUGGGACUGAGACACGGCCCAG
RNAcentral lists this ribosomal RNA (324 nucleotides) under uncultured bacterium. Its description in RNAcentral is "bacterial SSU rRNA". It matches the Rfam family "Bacterial small subunit ribosomal RNA", at positions 28 to 334 of the family's 1533-position model. The record is from RNAcentral.